RNAcentral lists this ribosomal RNA (587 nucleotides) under Deightoniella sp. Its description in RNAcentral is "partial large subunit ribosomal RNA". It matches the Rfam family "Eukaryotic large subunit ribosomal RNA", at positions 40 to 650 of the family's 3401-position model. Lineage: Eukaryota; Fungi; Ascomycota; Sordariomycetes; Magnaporthales; Pyriculariaceae. The record is from RNAcentral.
AUAUCAAUAAGCGGAGGAAAAGAAACCAACAGGGAUUGCCCCAGUAACGGCGAGUGAAGCGGCAACAGCUCAAAUUUGAAAUCUGGCCCCAGGCCCGAGUUGUAAUUUGCAGAGGAUGCUUUUGGUGAGGCCCCUACCGAGUCCCCUGGAAUGGGGCGCCACAGAGGGUGAGAGCCCCGUAUGGUUGGACGCCGAGCCUCUGUAAAGCUCCUUCGACGAGUCGAGUAGUUUGGGAAUGCUGCUCUAAAUGGGAGGUAAAUUUCUUCUAAAGCUAAAUACCGGCCAGAGACCGAUAGCGCACAAGUAGAGUGAUCGAAAGAUGAAAAGCACUUUGAAAAGAGGGUUAAAAAGUACGUGAAAUUGUUGAAAGGGAAGCGCUUGUGACCAGACUUGCGCCGGGCGGAUCAUCCAGCGUUCUCGCUGGUGCACUCCGCCCGGCUCAGGCCAGCAUCGGUUCUCGGCGGGGGACAAAGGCUUCGGGAACGUGGCCCUCUUCGGAGGGUGUUAUAGCCCGUUGCGUAAUACCCCGGCGGGGACCGACGACCGCGCUUCGGCAAGGAUGCUGGCGUAAUGGUCAUCAGCGACCC